UGAUGGCUAACGUGGGCAAGGAGA
RNAcentral lists this non-coding RNA (24 nucleotides) under Rattus norvegicus (Norway rat). Lineage: Eukaryota; Metazoa; Chordata; Mammalia; Rodentia; Muridae. The record is from RNAcentral.